RNAcentral lists this ribosomal RNA (388 nucleotides) under uncultured bacterium. Its description in RNAcentral is "bacterial SSU rRNA". It matches the Rfam family "Bacterial small subunit ribosomal RNA", at positions 28 to 417 of the family's 1533-position model. The record is from RNAcentral.
GACGAACGCUGGCGGCGUGCUUAACACAUGCAAGUCGAGCGGUAAGGCCCUUUCGGGGGUACACGAGCGGCGAACGGGUGAGUAACACGUGGGUGACCUGCCCUCAGCUCUGGGAUAAGCCUGGGAAACUGGGUCUAAUACUGGAUAUGACUCCACGGUGCAUGUCGUGGGGUGGAAAGCCUUGUGCGGCUGAGGAUGGGCCCGCGGCCUAUCAGCUUGUUGGUGGGGUAAUGGCCUACCAAGGCGACGACGGGUAGCCGGCCUGAGAGGGCGACCGGCCACACUGGGACUGAGACACGGCCCAGACUCCUACGGGAGGCAGCAGUGGGGAAUAUUGCACAAUGGGCGAAAGCCUGAUGCAGCGACGCCGCGUGAGGGAUGACGGCCU